CUGUGGAUUCUCCUCUGUGAACAUCUACUUUUGGGAAAAGCCUUGCCACACCUGGCAAUGUGCUUCUUGUCCAGCCUUCAGACAUCUUCAGUUCCAAGCUAAACAAUGAACAAAAAAGAAAUGCCACGGAUAUGGUCCUUUCUGCAGAACUCUGUGGAAACAGGAUUGGAUCCUAAAGAUGAGUGGCAAGGGACAACACAGAAGGGGUCUUUCGGUUUCUUGCUCUGACCACCAUGCCUGCUGCUUGCCUUCCACCAAGUUGGCCUCCAGGAACUUCAUGUCCAGCUUCUCUGAGCAUGAGACCCUCAGGAGUUCCUGAUGGUAUGGGAGUGUUUUCGGAUGACUUGCAGCUGCAGGAUCCCGAGAACUAGGGAGCGGCCAUUGGUCAGGGAAGGUACUAUAUAAGCUGCUCUGGAACACAAUAAAGGGGCAUGUUUUUUCAAGGA
Non-coding RNA from Myodes glareolus (Bank vole), 446 nucleotides. The record is from RefSeq and is a predicted model, not a curated record. NCBI's taxonomy places the organism in Eukaryota, Metazoa, Chordata, Mammalia, Rodentia, Cricetidae.